CUGCCACAGGGAAGGAUCUCCAGUAGGAGAUUCCCCCUUGGUGAAGCUUUCCCCUGCAAACCUGGUGUUUUCUGAUACAGAUCGUGUUCCUGGAGUAGAGCCAGAUGGCUCAUCGCAACAAGACAUGAUGUCUACAGAGCUCGGUAUCACAUUCCAGGGGAAGAGAAAACACCUGCAAGAGACAAGUAAACUAAGAGAGACAGGUACAGGAAAAUGGAGUAAAGCAGGGUUCAUUUAUUGUCAGUCCUUCGUCUUUGGAAUUCUUUUGGUUUCCAGCUUGUGGCCAGAAGCCAAUACUUGGUGAACUCAGUCCUGAAAGACAGGCUCUUCAGAGAAUGUAUGAUCUGAGGGAUGCUGUGGGUAAAUAGAACUUCAGUUGAAUUUCCUGAUUUCCUCCAGCAGGCUGCACCCUGGCAAGACAUGUCAGAACCGAAGAGGGGAGAAUUUAUCUCCAAGUUUUCAAAAUAAUGGGAGAAAGAGAGAUGUGAUCAUAUAAUUAAUGAUGACUAUAAGACAUAAUGUAUAUGUACAUACAUGUAUGUACAUAUGCGAUAAUAAACGUAUUUCAUUACUAUAAUGCAUAUGAAGUACUGAAUAGA
Molecule: long non-coding RNA, 599 nt
Organism: Lagopus leucura (white-tailed ptarmigan)
Lineage: Eukaryota; Metazoa; Chordata; Aves; Galliformes; Phasianidae
Exons: 3
Source: RefSeq, a predicted model, not a curated record